UACAGAGGGGGCAAGCGUUGUUCGGAAUUACUGGGCGUAAAGGGCGCGUAGGCGGCCUUCUAAGUCAGACGUGAAAUCCCCCAGCUUAACCUGGGAACUGCGUCUGAUACUGGAAGGCUUGAGUGCGGGAGAGGGAUGUGGAAUUCCAGGUGUAGCGGUGAAAUGCGUAGAUAUCUGGAGGAACACCGGUGGCGAAGGCGGCAUCCUGGACCGACACUGACGCUGAGGCGCGAAAGCGUGGGGAGCAAACAGG
Molecule: ribosomal RNA, 253 nt
Filed under: uncultured bacterium
Lineage: Bacteria
Description: partial 16S ribosomal RNA
Rfam family: Bacterial small subunit ribosomal RNA
Source: RNAcentral